GAAAACAAUCGGAUCGAAAUUGAGAGGCUAGACAGGGAAAGGCAGACUGACUUUGUAGACAUGCUGAAAGGAUUUGUUACUAGUCAGGUGGCGUAUAAUGAGAAAAUUGGACAUGAAUGGGCUAAGGUGGGGGAAGAAACCAGUAGAUAUGCAAAAGAGAGCACGUAGAAACAGCUAUUUUACUGUUUAUUGGGAUCUUUAUAUAUCUUUUUCUUCCCAUUUCGGAUUAAAAAAGGGUGCUGGAUCCCUAUGAAAAAAAUGGCAAUAGAAAACUGGACUGGAAUUUUAUUUCUCUUUCAUUCCUCUCUUUUUCAUUUUUGGUGCGUUUUUAACUUAUAAUUUCGUCAACAGUCAUUCUUCUCCUGUUAUUGAAAAGAUUCUGGUACCAGUUACUUGAAAUUUUACUAUAAAUGGAUCCUUGAACAUCAA
Molecule: long non-coding RNA, 429 nt
Organism: Olea europaea var. sylvestris
Lineage: Eukaryota; Viridiplantae; Streptophyta; Magnoliopsida; Lamiales; Oleaceae
Exons: 2
Source: RefSeq, a predicted model, not a curated record